AUACGUAGGUGGCAAGCGUUGUCCGGAUUUACUGGGCGUAAAGGGAGCGUAAGCGGAUACUUAAGUGGGAUGUGAAAUACCCCGGGCUCAACCCGGGUGCUGCAUUCCAAACUGGGUAUCUAGAGUGUGGGAGAGGAAAGUGGAAUUCCUAGUGUAGCGGUGAAAUGCGUAGAGAUUAGGAAGAAUACCAGUGGCGAAGGCGGCUUUCUGGACUGUAACUGACACUGAGGCUCGAAAGCGUGGGGAGC
Molecule: ribosomal RNA, 248 nt
Filed under: uncultured bacterium
Lineage: Bacteria
Description: partial 16S ribosomal RNA
Rfam family: Bacterial small subunit ribosomal RNA
Source: RNAcentral